AACGAACGCUGGCGGCAGGCCUAACACAUGCAAGUCGAGCGCGCCCUUCGGGGUGAGCGGCGGACGGGUGAGUAACGCGUGGGAACGUGCCCUUCUCUGCGGAAUAGCCUCGGGAAACUGAGAGUAAUACCGCAUACGCCCUUUGGGGGAAAGAUUUAUCGGGGAAGGAUCGGCCCGCGUUGGAUUAGGUAGUUGGUGGGGUAAUGGCCCACCAAGCCGACGAUCCAUAGCUGGUUUGAGAGGAUGAUCAGCCACACUGGGACUGAGACACGGCCCAGACUCCUACGGGAGGCAGCAGUGGGGAAUCUUAGACAAUGGGGGCAACCCUGAUCUAGCCAUGCCGCGUGAGUGAUGAAGGCCUUAGGGUUGUAAAGCUCUUUCAGCUGGGAAGAUAAUGACGGUACCAGCAGAAGAAGCCCCGGCUAACUCCGUGCCAGCCGCCGCGGUAA
This 449-nucleotide ribosomal RNA is filed under the name uncultured bacterium. RNAcentral's name for it is "partial 16S ribosomal RNA". It matches the Rfam family "Bacterial small subunit ribosomal RNA", at positions 29 to 523 of the family's 1533-position model. The record is from RNAcentral.